RNAcentral lists this ribosomal RNA (2276 nucleotides) under Pseudomonas aeruginosa. RNAcentral describes it as "partial 23S ribosomal RNA". It matches the Rfam family "Bacterial large subunit ribosomal RNA", at positions 1 to 2315 of the family's 2925-position model. Lineage: Bacteria; Pseudomonadati; Pseudomonadota; Gammaproteobacteria; Pseudomonadales; Pseudomonadaceae. The record is from RNAcentral.
GGUCAAGUGAAGAAGCGCAUACGGUGGAUGCCUUGGCAGUCAGAGGCGAUGAAAGACGUGGUAGCCUGCGAAAAGCUUCGGGGAGUCGGCAAACAGACUUUGAUCCGGAGAUCUCUGAAUGGGGGAACCCACCUAGGAUAACCUAGGUAUCUUGUACUGAAUCCAUAGGUGCAAGAGGCGAACCAGGGGAACUGAAACAUCUAAGUACCCUGAGGAAAAGAAAUCAACCGAGAUUCCCUUAGUAGUGGCGAGCGAACGGGGAUUAGCCCUUAAGCUUCAUUGAUUUUAGCGGAACGCUCUGGAAAGUGCGGCCAUAGUGGGUGAUAGCCCCGUACGCGAAAGGAUCUUUGAAGUGAAAUCGAGUAGGACGGAGCACGAGAAACUUUGUCUGAACAUGGGGGGACCAUCCUCCAAGGCUAAAUACUACUGACUGACCGAUAGUGAACCAGUACCGUGAGGGAAAGGCGAAAAGAACCCCGGAGAGGGGAGUGAAAUAGAACCUGAAACCGUAUGCGUACAAGCAGUGGGAGCCUACUUGUUAGGUGACUGCGUACCUUUUGUAUAAUGGGUCAGCGACUUAUAUUCAGUGGCAAGCUUAACCGUAUAGGGUAGGCGUAGCGAAAGCGAGUCUUAAUAGGGCGUUUAGUCGCUGGGUAUAGACCCGAAACCGGGCGAUCUAUCCAUGAGCAGGUUGAAGGUUAGGUAACACUGACUGGAGGACCGAACCCACUCCCGUUGAAAAGGUAGGGGAUGACUUGUGGAUCGGAGUGAAAGGCUAAUCAAGCUCGGAGAUAGCUGGUUCUCCUCGAAAGCUAUUUAGGUAGCGCCUCAUGUAUCACUCUGGGGGGUAGAGCACUGUUUCGGCUAGGGGGUCAUCCCGACUUACCAAACCGAUGCAAACUCCGAAUACCCAGAAGUGCCGAGCAUGGGAGACACACGGCGGGUGCUAACGUCCGUCGUGAAAAGGGAAACAACCCAGACCGCCAGCUAAGGUCCCAAAGUUGUGGUUAAGUGGUAAACGAUGUGGGAAGGCUUAGACAGCUAGGAGGUUGGCUUAGAAGCAGCCAUCCUUUAAAGAAAGCGUAAUAGCUCACUAGUCGAGUCGGCCUGCGCGGAAGAUGUAACGGGGCUCAAACCACACACCGAAGCUGCGGGUGUCACGUAAGUGACGCGGUAGAGGAGCGUUCUGUAAGCCUGUGAAGGUGAGUUGAGAAGCUUGCUGGAGGUAUCAGAAGUGCGAAUGCUGACAUGAGUAACGACAAUGGGUGUGAAAAACACCCACGCCGAAAGACCAAGGGUUCCUGCGCAACGUUAAUCGACGCAGGGUUAGUCGGUUCCUAAGGCGAGGCUGAAAAGCGUAGUCGAUGGGAAACAGGUUAAUAUUCCUGUACUUCUGGUUACUGCGAUGGAGGGACGGAGAAGGCUAGGCCAGCUUGGCGUUGGUUGUCCAAGUUUAAGGUGGUAGGCUGAAAUCUUAGGUAAAUCCGGGGUUUCAAGGCCGAGAGCUGAUGACGAGUCGUCUUUUAGAUGACGAAGUGGUUGAUGCCAUGCUUCCAAGAAAAGCUUCUAAGCUUCAGGUAACCAGGAACCGUACCCCAAACCGACACAGGUGGUCGGGUAGAGAAUACCAAGGCGCUUGAGAGAACUCGGGUGAAGGAACUAGGCAAAAUGGCACCGUAACUUCGGGAGAAGGUGCGCCGGCUAGGGUGAAGGAUUUACUCCGUAAGCUCUGGCUGGUCGAAGAUACCAGGCCGCUGCGACUGUUUAUUAAAAACACAGCACUCUGCAAACACGAAAGUGGACGUAUAGGGUGUGACGCCUGCCCGGUGCCGGAAGGUUAAUUGAUGGGGUUAGCGCAAGCGAAGCUCUUGAUCGAAGCCCCGGUAAACGGCGGCCGUAACUAUAACGGUCCUAAGGUAGCGAAAUUCCUUGUCGGGUAAGUUCCGACCUGCACGAAUGGCGUAACGAUGGCGGCGCUGUCUCCACCCGAGACUCAGUGAAAUUGAAAUCGCUGUGAAGAUGCAGUGUAUCCGCGGCUAGACGGAAAGACCCCGUGAACCUUUACUGUAGCUUUGCACUGGACUUUGAGCCUGCUUGUGUAGGAUAGGUGGGAGGCUUUGAAGCGUGGACGCCAGUUCGCGUGGAGCCAUCCUUGAAAUACCACCCUGGCAUGCUUGAGGUUCUAACUCUGGUCCGUGAUCCGGAUCGAGGACAGUGUAUGGUGGGCAGUUUGACUGGGGCGGUCUCCUCCUAAAGAGUAACGGAGGAGUACGAAG